This 465-nucleotide ribosomal RNA is filed under the name uncultured Klebsiella sp. RNAcentral describes it as "bacterial SSU rRNA". It matches the Rfam family "Bacterial small subunit ribosomal RNA", at positions 338 to 795 of the family's 1533-position model. The record is from RNAcentral. Lineage: Bacteria; Pseudomonadati; Pseudomonadota; Gammaproteobacteria; Enterobacterales; Enterobacteriaceae.
CCUACGGGGGGCUGCAGUGGGGAAUAUUGCACAAUGGGCGCAAGCCUGAUGCAGCCAUGCCGCGUGUGUGAAGAAGGCCUUCGGGUUGUAAAGCACUUUCAGCGGGGAGGAAGGCGUUAAGGUUAAUAACCUUGGCGAUUGACGUUACCCGCAGAAGAAGCACCGGCUAACUCCGUGCCAGCAGCCGCGGUAAUACGGAGGGUGCAAGCGUUAAUCGGAAUUACUGGGCGUAAAGCGCACGCAGGCGGUCUGUCAAGUCGGAUGUGAAAUCCCCGGGCUCAACCUGGGAACUGCAUUCGAAACUGGCAGGCUAGAGUCUUGUAGAGGGGGGUAGAAUUCCAGGUGUAGCGGUGAAAUGCGUAGAGAUCUGGAGGAAUACCGGUGGCGAAGGCGGCCCCCUGGACAAAGACUGACGCCCAGGUGCGAAAGCGUGGGGAGCAAACAGGAUUAGAUACCCCUGUAGUC